AACGCAUAUUGCGCUCUUUGGUAUUCCGAAGAGCAUGCUUGUUUGAGUAUCAGUAAACACCUCAAAGCCUUUUUUCUUUUUUGAAGAAAGGCUUUGGACUUGAGCAAUCCCAACACCAAUCUUUUAAAGAGAGGGGGCGGGUUGCUUGAAAUGCAGGUGCAGCUGGACAUUCUCCUGAGCUAAAAGCAUAUUCAUUUAGUCCCGUCAAACGGAUUAUUACUUUUGCUGCAGCUAAUAUAAAGGGAGUUUGACCAUUUUGGCUGACUUAUGCAGGAUUUUCACAAGAGUCUUCAAAACCUCUUGUUAAACUCGAUCUCAAAUCAAGUAAGACUACCCGCUGAACUUAA
RNAcentral lists this unclassified non-coding RNA (347 nucleotides) under uncultured Mortierella. Its description in RNAcentral is "sequence contains ITS2". Lineage: Eukaryota; Fungi; Mortierellomycota; Mortierellomycetes; Mortierellales; Mortierellaceae. The record is from RNAcentral.